RNAcentral lists this ribosomal RNA (1005 nucleotides) under Anoxybacillus pushchinoensis. Its description in RNAcentral is "bacterial LSU rRNA". It matches the Rfam family "Bacterial large subunit ribosomal RNA", at positions 1559 to 2563 of the family's 2925-position model. The record is from RNAcentral. Lineage: Bacteria; Bacillati; Bacillota; Bacilli; Caryophanales; Anoxybacillaceae.
AGCUGUGAUGGCGAGGGAAAUAAAGUACCGAAGUGCCUGAUUCCACACUGCCAAGAAAAGCCUCUAGCGAGGUGAGAGGUGCCCGUACCGCAAACCGACACAGGUAGGCGAGGAGAGAAUCCUAAGGUGCGCGGGAGAACUCUCGUUAAGGAACUCGGCAAAAUGACCCCGUAACUUCGGGAGAAGGGGUGCUCCCUCGGGUGAAUAGCCCAGGGGAGCCGCAGUGAAAAGGCCCAAGCGACUGUUUAUCAAAAACACAGGUCUCUGCGAAGCCGUAAGGCGAAGUAUAGGGGCUGACACCUGCCCGGUGCUGGAAGGUUAAGGGGAGCGCUUAGCGCAAGCGAAGGUGCGAACCGAAGCCCCAGUAAACGGCGGCCGUAACUAUAACGGUCCUAAGGUAGCGAAAUUCCUUGUCGGGUAAGUUCCGACCCGCACGAAAGGUGUAACGACUUGGGCACUGUCUCAACGAGAGACCCGGUGAAAUCAUAGUACCUGUGAAGAUGCAGGUUACCCGCGACAGGACGGAAAGACCCCGUGGAGCUUUACUGCAGCCUGAUAUUGAAUGUUGGUGCGACAUGUACAGCAUAGGUGGGAGACUGAGAAGCCUGGACGCCAGUCUAGGUGGAGUCGCCGUUGGGAUACCACCCUUGUCGUACUGAGAUUCUAACCCGCACCCCUGAUCGGGGUGGGAGACAGUGUCAGGUGGGCAGUUUGACUGGGGCGGUCGCCUCCCAAAGCGUAACGGAGGCGCCCAAAGGUUCCCUCAGAAUGGUUGGAAAUCAUUCGAAGAGUGUAAAGGCAGAAGGGAGCUUGACUGCGAGACCUACAAGUCGAGCAGGGACGAAAGUCGGGCUUAGUGAUCCGGUGGUUCCGAAUGGAAGGGCCAUCGCUCAACGGAUAAAAGCUACCCCGGGGAUAACAGGCUUAUCUCCCCCAAGAGUCCACAUCGACGGGGAGGUUUGGCACCUCGAUGUCGGCUCAUCGCAUCCUGGGGCUGUAGUCGGU